GACGAACGCUGGCGGCGUGCUUAACACAUGCAAGUCGAACGGAAAGGCCCUGCUUUUGUGGGGUGCUCGAGUGGCGAACGGGUGAGUAACACGUGAGUAACCUGCCCUUGACUUUGGGAUAACUUCAGGAAACUGGGGCUAAUACCGGAUAGGAGCUCCUGCUGCAUGGUGGGGGUUGGAAAGUUUCGGCGGUUGGGGAUGGACUCGCGGCUUAUCAGCUUGUUGGUGGGGUAGUGGCUUACCAAGGCUUUGACGGGUAGCCGGCCUGAGAGGGUGACCGGCCACAUUGGGACUGAGAUACGGCCCAGACUCCUACGGGAGGCAGCAGUGGGGAAUAUUGCACAAUGGGCGGAAGCCUGAUGCAGCAACGCCGCGUGCGGGAGGACGGCCUUCGGGUUGUAAACCGCUUUCGCCUGUGACGAAGCGUGAGUGACGGUAAUGGGUAAAGAAGCACCGGCUAACUACGUG
Molecule: ribosomal RNA, 468 nt
Filed under: uncultured bacterium
Lineage: Bacteria
Description: partial 16S ribosomal RNA
Rfam family: Bacterial small subunit ribosomal RNA
Source: RNAcentral